GAUGAACGCUGGCGGCGUGCCUAAUACAUGCAAGUCGAGCGAACGGACGAGAAGCUUGCUUCUCUGAUGUUAGCGGCGGACGGGUGAGUAACACGUGGAUAACCUACCUAUAAGACUGGGAUAACUUCGGGAAACCGGAGCUAAUACCGGAUGAUAUUUUGAACCGCAUGGUUCAAUAGUGAAAGACGGUCUUGCUGUCACUUAUAGAUGGAUCCGCGCUGCAUUAGCUAGUUGGUAAGGUAACGGCUUACCAAGGCAACGAUGCAUAGCCGACCUGAGAGGGUGAUCGGCCACACGGGAACUGAAAACGGGUCCAAACCCCAAGGGGAGGCAGAGGUAGGGAAUCUUCCGAAAUGGGCGAAAGCCUGACGGAGCAACGCGGCGUGAGUAAUGAAGGUCUUCGGAUCGUAAAACUCUGUUAUUAGGGAAAAACAUAUGUGUAAGUAACUGUGCACAUCUGGACGGUACCUAAUAAGAAGGCCACGGCUAACUACGU
This 496-nucleotide ribosomal RNA is filed under the name uncultured bacterium. RNAcentral's name for it is "partial 16S ribosomal RNA". It matches the Rfam family "Bacterial small subunit ribosomal RNA", at positions 28 to 506 of the family's 1533-position model. The record is from RNAcentral.